GUACACACCGCCCGUCGCACCAUGGGAGUGGAGGAUACCAGAAGUAGUUAGGCUAACCGCAAGGGGGCCGAUUACCACGGUAUGUUUCAUGACUGGGGUGAAGUCGUAACAAGGUUUCCGUAGGUGAACCUGCAGAAGGAUCA
Molecule: ribosomal RNA, 143 nt
Filed under: uncultured eukaryote
Lineage: Eukaryota
Description: partial small subunit ribosomal RNA
Rfam family: Bacterial small subunit ribosomal RNA
Source: RNAcentral